RNAcentral lists this transfer RNA (62 nucleotides) under Mesocricetus auratus (golden hamster). It matches the Rfam family "tRNA", at positions 6 to 65 of the family's 71-position model. Rfam says of the family: Transfer RNA (tRNA) molecules are approximately 80 nucleotides in length. Their secondary structure includes four short double-helical elements and three loops (D, anti-codon, and T loops). Lineage: Eukaryota; Metazoa; Chordata; Mammalia; Rodentia; Cricetidae. The record is from Rfam by way of RNAcentral.
UGUAGCUCAGUGGGUAGAGUGCCUAUCUGGGAUACACAAAGCCCUGGGUUUGAUUCCCAGCA